RNAcentral lists this ribosomal RNA (463 nucleotides) under uncultured bacterium. RNAcentral's name for it is "SSU rRNA". It matches the Rfam family "Bacterial small subunit ribosomal RNA", at positions 26 to 518 of the family's 1533-position model. The record is from RNAcentral.
AGGAUUAACGCUGGCGGCGUGCCUAACACAUGCAAGUCGAACGAGGUAGCAAUACCUAGUGGCAGACGGGUGAGUAGCGCGUGGUCAACCUACCGUUGAGUGGGGGAUAACUAGCCGAAAGGUUAGCUAAUACCGCAUACGUCUCCGAGGGGCAUCCCUUGGUGAUAAAAGGAGCAAUCCGCUCGAUGACGGGACCGCGUCCCAUUAGCUAGUUGGUAGGGUAACGGCCUACCAAGGCAUCGAUGGGUAGCUGGUUUGAGAGAGCGACCAGCCACACUGGGACUGAGAUACGGCCCAGACUCCUACGGGAGGCAGCAGUGAGGAAUUUUCCGCAAUGGGCGAAAGCCUGACGGAGCGACGCCGCGUGUGGGAAGAAGGCCUUCGGGUCGUAAACCACUGUCGAAGGGAAGAUAAUGACGGUACCCUUGGAGGAAGCCCCGGCUAACUACGUGCCAGCAGCCGC